GAUGAACGCUGGCGGCGUGCCUAAUACAUGCAAGUCGAGCGAACAGACGAGGAGCUUGCUCCUCUGACGUUAGCGGCGGACGGGUGAGUAACACGUGGAUAACCUACCUAUAAGACUGGGAUAACUUCGGGAAACCGGAGCUAAUACCGGAUAAUAUAUUGAACCGCAUGGUUCAAUAGUGAAAGACGGUUUUGCUGUCACUUAUAGAUGGAUCCGCGCCGCAUUAGCUAGUUGGUAAGGUAACGGCUUACCAAGGCAACGAUGCGUAGCCGACCUGAGAGGGUGAUCGGCCACACUGGAACUGAGACACGGUCCAGACUCCUACGGGAGGCAGCAGUAGGGAAUCUUCCGCAAUGGGCGAAAGCCUGACGGAGCAACGCCGCGUGAGUGAUAAAGGUCUUCGGAUCGUAAAACUCUGUUAUUAGGGAAGAACAAAUGUGUAAGAAACUAUGCACGUCUUGACGGUACCUAAUCAGAAAGCCACGGCUAACUACGUG
This 497-nucleotide ribosomal RNA is filed under the name uncultured bacterium. RNAcentral describes it as "partial 16S ribosomal RNA". It matches the Rfam family "Bacterial small subunit ribosomal RNA", at positions 28 to 507 of the family's 1533-position model. The record is from RNAcentral.